GGAUGUGAGGGCGAUCUGGCUGCGACAUCUGUCACCCCAUUGAUCGCCAGGGUUGAUUCGGCUGAUCUGGCUGGCUAGGCGGGUGUCCCCUUCCUCCCUCACCGCUCCAUGUGCGUCCCUCCCGAAGCUGCACGCUCGGUCGAAGAGGACGACCAUCCCCGAUAGAGGAGGACCGAUCUUCGGUCAAGGGUAUACGAGUAGCUGUGCUCCCCUGCUAGAAUCUCCAAACAAGCUCUCAAGUUUAUAAGCUACCCAGUCUGCGGUAUUUUAACAACCUGAACAGAUUAUAAUAAUAUAUAAAAUUGU
RNAcentral lists this small nuclear RNA (306 nucleotides) under Vulpes vulpes (red fox). RNAcentral describes it as "7SK RNA (ENSVVUG00000004549.1)". It matches the Rfam family "7SK RNA". Rfam says of the family: 7SK was discovered as an abundant small nuclear RNA in the mid-70s but a possible function has only recently been suggested. Two independent studies have found that 7SK RNA binds the CDK9/cyclin T complex (known as elongation factor P-TEFb). P-TEFb activates transcription by phosphorylating the C-terminal domain of RNA polymerase II. Lineage: Eukaryota; Metazoa; Chordata; Mammalia; Carnivora; Canidae. The record is from Rfam by way of RNAcentral.